GGAUUUCUGUCGUGGUCAUCCGGCUCCGCCUGUAUAGGUGUGCGCCUGGUUUGCCCUCGGCUUUCUUCCGGUAGCCUACCGCGCUUCACUGCGUGCGUGGGUGUUUUCCGGAACUUUUACUUUGAGAAAAAUAGAGUGUUUCAAGCAGGCUUGUCGCCCUGAAUACUUCAGCAUGGAAUAAUAAGAUAGGACCUUGGUUCUAUUUUGUUGGUUUCUAGGACCAAGGUAAUGGUUAAUAGGGACAGUUGGGGGCAUUCGUAUUUAACUGUCAGAGGUGAAAUUCUUAGAUUUGUUAAAGACGAACUACUGCGAAAGCAUUUGCCAAGGAUGUUUUCAUUAAUCAAGAACGACAGUAGGGGGUUUGAAGACGAUUAGAUACCGUCGUAAUCUCUACCAUAAACUAUGCCGACUAGAGAUAGGGAAUCCAUUAGCCCAAUCUUCCCUGCACCUCAUGAGAAAUCAAAGUUUCUGGGUUCUGGGGGGAGUAUGGUCGCAAGGCUGAAACUUAAAG
Molecule: ribosomal RNA, 511 nt
Filed under: Eimeria sp. 36_10
Lineage: Eukaryota; Apicomplexa; Conoidasida; Eucoccidiorida; Eimeriidae
Description: SSU rRNA
Rfam family: Eukaryotic small subunit ribosomal RNA
Source: RNAcentral